GAAGCGGCAAAAGCUCAAAUUUGAAAUCUGGCACUUUCAGUGUCCGAGUUGUAAUUUGAAGAAGGUAUCUUUGGGUCUGGCUCUUGUCUAUGUUUCUUGGAACAGAACGUCACAGAGGGUGAGAAUCCCGUGCGAUGAGAUGUCCCAGACCUAUGUAAAGUUCCUUCGAAGAGUCGAGUUGUUUGGGAAUGCAGCUCUAAGUGGGUGGUAAAUUCCAUCUAAAGCUAAAUAUUGGCGAGAGACCGAUAGCGAACAAGUACAGUGAUGGAAAGAUGAAAAGAACUUUGAAAAGAGAGUGAAAAAGUACGUGAAAUUGUUGAAAGGGAAGGGCUUGAGAUCAGACUUGGUAUUUUGUAUGUUACUCUCUCGGGGGUGGCCUCUACAGUUUACCGGGCCAGCAUCAGUUUGAGCGGUAGGAUAAGUGCAAAGAAAUGUGGCACUGCUUCGGUAGUGUGUUAUAGUCUUUGUCGAUACUGCCAGCUUAGACUGAGGACUGCGGCUUCGGCCUAGGAUGUUGGCAUAAUGAUCUUAAGUCGCCCGUCUUGA
RNAcentral lists this ribosomal RNA (546 nucleotides) under Lodderomyces parapsilosis. Its description in RNAcentral is "eukaryotic LSU rRNA". It matches the Rfam family "Eukaryotic large subunit ribosomal RNA", at positions 95 to 657 of the family's 3401-position model. The record is from RNAcentral. Lineage: Eukaryota; Fungi; Ascomycota; Pichiomycetes; Serinales; Debaryomycetaceae.